AUGACGUUUACCAUAGUUUAUUAGCAAAGGGCCAAGCAACAUUCUUGAACCUGAGAAUUGUCUGCAAUUCUUUAAUAAGAAUAAGAACAAAGGCCCAACAAGGAAAGAGGCACGCCAAAUUUUCUGGACUUUGCAUGCUGCCAUCUGGGAAGGAAAUCAAGACCAAAUCUCUGCUAUUUCUAGAAGACUUGUAUAAUUGAAGGUCCUCAUGGGAUUGAAAACGUCAUCACCCGAGAGUUCAUCUCAGUCUUACAUCCCAGAGACUUCUGGAAGCUCCAGGAGUCCUGCACCCACAGCAGGAUUGCGCCUUACUGUCUGGUCCUAUAUGCAUGGGGUCGAGAUAUUACAUCAACUAUUCUGUCUGUUUUCUUGGUAUACAACCAACUUGUUAAUGUGAAUUAGAAGCAACAAUUUCAUUGGGCAAUGAUACAGCUUCCAAAUGCCUUCUAUUAUAGUUCAUUAAUUAAGCUCUUUUCAGAAAAACCAUCUGUGGUGGGUUGACCAUGGAUUUUAAUUAAGGCAUUCUCAGCUCACUGAGUCACAAAUCCCAUAUCUUGUCCUACGUCAGAAACAUCACUCGAGACUGCUGAUCUGUGGUAUCAGGUCACAGCUUUGAUAAAAUUGGAAAAGGUCUGAAGACAACAACGUCAGUUUGUUUCUGCUCUGGCUCCUAGUCUACAUCACCACUUGGCCCAAAGGAAUAGUGUGUAUCUGUGGUAAGCUAUAAAAACAGGCCUGACAUUCUUUGACUUGUAAAGAGAUACUCUGGUUUUCUUUCUCAUUGUGUGAAAAUUGUGGACGUUUUGCAACUGGGACAUUGUAAGUACAUUUUGAGACCAUUUCGAAAAUAGGAUGAUUUAAUGUGAUAGGAAUGGCUACACACAGCCCAUUUAGAAAUAGCUUCACUGUAGAUGUUAUUACCAAAGAUCUGCAUCACUUUAGUUAAAAGGUAUUGAUUUCAUGGUAUGUAGCCUAAUGACAUCUGUACUACAUAACACCUGAUAUGCUUGAGACAUAUUGUUGGCAACACACUACAAACAUGAACAAAUUCUUAUUUUAAGUGUUAUGUUGUUUUAUGGGGGUAUGCUUGCUCUGUAAUCCUUUAAUAAUAUCCACAGACUAUAAGUUAUUAAAUCACACAGGCAGGUUCCUCUGUGAAGCCUUUAGUGAGAGAUAAGACUUCUCAUCCCCUUGAUUCAGUUAUAUUCUCACUUCAAUGGCAUGCCACAAGGGGGAAUUAAGGCUUACACCACUGUUGGCGGUUUAUGAAUAGGUUUUUAUGUAUGUGGGCCACUUCCCCACCUUCAAUCUGUUCUUAUGUCAAUUACAU
Anguilla rostrata (American eel) is the source of this 1330-nucleotide long non-coding RNA. RefSeq lists it as uncharacterized. The record is from RefSeq and is a predicted model, not a curated record. Lineage: Eukaryota; Metazoa; Chordata; Actinopteri; Anguilliformes; Anguillidae. The transcript has 3 exons.